UACGUAGGGUGCGAGCGUUGUCCGGAAUUACUGGGCGUAAAGAGCUCGUAGGUGGUUUGUCGCGUUGUUCGUGAAAUCUCACGGCUUAACUGUGAGCGUGCGGGCGAUACGGGCAGACUAGAGUACUGCAGGGGAGACUGGAAUUCCUGGUGUAGCGGUGGAAUGCGCAGAUAUCAGGAGGAACACCGGUGGCGAAGGCGGGUCUCUGGGCAGUAACUGACGCUGAGGAGCGAAAGCGUGGGGAGCGAACAGGAUUAGAUACCCUGGUAGUCCACGCCGUAAACGGUGGGUACUAGGUGUGGGUUUCCUUCCUUGGGAUCCGUGCCGUAGCUAACGCAUUAAGUACCCCGCCUGGGGAGUACGGCCG
RNAcentral lists this ribosomal RNA (367 nucleotides) under uncultured Mycobacterium sp. RNAcentral describes it as "bacterial SSU rRNA". It matches the Rfam family "Bacterial small subunit ribosomal RNA", at positions 524 to 888 of the family's 1533-position model. Lineage: Bacteria; Bacillati; Actinomycetota; Actinomycetes; Mycobacteriales; Mycobacteriaceae. The record is from RNAcentral.